Molecule: long non-coding RNA, 906 nt
Filed under: Homo sapiens (human)
Lineage: Eukaryota; Metazoa; Chordata; Mammalia; Primates; Hominidae
Description: HSALNT0119232
Source: RNAcentral
CCAACCUCAGGAUACUAUCAGUAUAAACAUUCUUGAAGGGGAACAUAUAUUCUGGGUCUGGGAGACAAAUCCCAUCUGGUCUACCUUGGAUGGAAGGCUCCCCUACUCUGUAGUGGUUGGUUGUUUUGUUGUGUGUGGACAGCUGAGAGUCAUUUCCUCAUCUUUAUUCCAAACGAAGCUGGACACUCCCUUUUCAUUUUUGAAAAGUAAUCUGUGUGAGAAGGCAGCCAGCAUGUUUACCCACUGGGCUUGGAGCCAGACUUCUUUCCCUGGUUCUUCCUCUCUCUGUUUCUCAAUCUCCCCUGCUCUAAGAUGGCCAGAUAUGAAAAGCUGCCAAUCGGGAUGCCAGAACAUCAAAGAGAUCGCUCAUGAGAGCACACAAAGUCCCAUUUGUUCAGCACUUGGACGGAGAUGCCAGCAGCUUCCAGGCAGAGGGAGAAUCGAAGCUAAGCAUAUUUUCCUCAAAUAUAACCUGGUCUGCAGAGGUGCAGCUCUGACUUCAACAUCACCAUUAAUAACUUCAUCACCAAGCAAUUUUACCUUCUUGGAGCUGAAAUGUCAAGCAUCACCACUUGUGUGGAGGGACUUUGUAGAGCUAAAAAGCCUACUGGAGUUGUUUCAGAACAACAAAAAAACCACCCCCCAACAAUUGUUGAAGAGUAUUUCAUUUGUGUAAUAAAAGAGCUGAAAAAAAUAUUCCAAUUGAGCAUUCUCUGGACACCCACAGUCCCUUGGCCCUGAAGAAACAGUUGACCUUACUCUGGGAUGGGGCAUUAACAAAAGACAAAAAUUAAGUCCUGAGAAUCAGAACUAAGAGUCAGAAAUACGCAAGUGGUUGACAUCUUUGUGUCUCAGCUUUCUGACCUAUAUCCUAAACAUGAUGUGUGUGAGACUCUUCAUUUGCUG